Molecule: ribosomal RNA, 450 nt
Filed under: uncultured bacterium
Lineage: Bacteria
Description: bacterial SSU rRNA
Rfam family: Bacterial small subunit ribosomal RNA
Source: RNAcentral
AACGAACGCUGGCGGCAUGCCUAACACAUGCAAGUCGAACGAAGCCUUCGGGCUUAGUGGCGCACGGGUGCGUAACGCGUGGGAAUCUGCCCUUGGGUUCGGAAUAACAGUUAGAAAUGACUGCUAAUACCGAAUGAUGUCUUCGGACCAAAGAUUUAUCGCCCAAGGAUGAGCCCGCGUCGGAUUAGCUAGUUGGUGAGGUAAAGGCUCACCAAGGCGACGAUCCGUAGCUGGUCUGAGAGGAUGAUCAGCCACACUGGGACUGAGACACGGCCCAGACUCCAACGGGAGGCAGCAGUGGGGAAUAUUGGACAAUGGGCGAAAGCCUGAUCCAGCAAUGCCGCGUGAGUGAUGAAGGCCUUAGGGUUGUAAAGCUCUUUUACCCGGGAUGAUAAUGACAGUACCGGGAGAAUAAGCCCCGGCUAACUCCGUGCCAGCAGCCGCGGUAAU